ACAGUGGCGGACGGGUGAGUAAAGUCUGGGAAACUGCCUGAUGGAGGGGGAUAACUACUGGAAACGGUAGCUAAUACCGCAUAACGUCGCAAGACCAAAGAGGGGGACCUUCGGGCCUCUUGCCAUCGGAUGUGCCCAGAUGGGAUUAGCUAGAAGGUGGGGUAACGGCUCACCUAGGCGACGAUCCCUAGCUGGUCUGAGAGGAUGACCAGGCACACUGGAACUGAGACACGGUCCAGACUCCUACGGGAGGCAGCAGUGGGGAAUAUUGCACAAUGGGCGCAAGCCUGAUGCAGCCAUGCCGCGUGUAUGAAGAANGCCUUCGGGUUGUAAAGUAGUUUCAGCGAGGAGGAAGCGGAUGAGUUAUAACCUCAGCAAUUGACGUUACCCGCAAAAGAAGCACCGGCUAACUCCGUGCCAGCAGCCGCGGUAAUACGGAGGGUGCAAGCGUUAAUCGGAAUUACUGGGCGUAAAGCGCAC
This 480-nucleotide ribosomal RNA is filed under the name Enterobacter sp. WO6. RNAcentral describes it as "bacterial SSU rRNA". It matches the Rfam family "Bacterial small subunit ribosomal RNA", at positions 92 to 570 of the family's 1533-position model. The record is from RNAcentral. Lineage: Bacteria; Pseudomonadati; Pseudomonadota; Gammaproteobacteria; Enterobacterales; Enterobacteriaceae.